AUUGAACGCUGGCGGAAUGCUUUACACAUGCAAGUCGAACGGCAGCACGGACUUCGGUCUGGUGGCGAGUGGCGAACGGGUGAGUAAUGUAUCGGAACGUGCCCAGUCGUGGGGGAUAACGUAGUGAAAAUUACGCUAAUACCGCAUACGAUCUAUGGAUGAAAGCGGGGGAUCGCAAGACCUCGCGCGAUUGGAGCGGCCGAUAUCAGAUUAGGUAGUGGGUGGGGUAAAGGCCCACCAAGCCAACGAUCUGUAGCUGGUCUGAGAGGACGACCAGCCACACUGGAGCUGAGACACGGUCCAGACUCCUACGGGAGGCAGCAGUGGGGAAUUUUGGACAAUGGGCGAAAGCCUGAUCCAGCCAUUCCGCGUGCAGGAUGAAGGCCCUCGGGUUGUAAACUGCUUUUGUACAGAACGAAAAGGUUUCUACUAAUACUAGGAGCUCAUGACGGUACUGUAAGAAUAAGCACCGGCUAACUACGUGCCAGCAGCCGCCGUAA
This 500-nucleotide ribosomal RNA is filed under the name uncultured bacterium. RNAcentral describes it as "partial 16S ribosomal RNA". It matches the Rfam family "Bacterial small subunit ribosomal RNA", at positions 30 to 523 of the family's 1533-position model. The record is from RNAcentral.